AUUCCAGCUCCAAUAGCGUAUAUUAAAGUUGUUGCAGUUAAAAAGCUCGUAGUUGGAUUUGGGACUGGAGUCGUCGGGUCGGCCGCGAGGUCUGUUACUUGGCGGCUCUGUCAUUACAAUUCCCUGGGACCUGUCGUGUGCUUCGCUGUACGCGGCACGGGACUUGGGACGUUUACUUUGAAAAAAUUAGAGUGUUCAAAGCAGGCUUUUUAAGCCCGAAUACAUGAGCAUGGAAUAAUGGAAUAGGAUUGCGGUUCUAUUUUGUUGGUUUCUACGACCGCAGUAAUGAUUAAGAGGGACAAUUGGGGGCAUCCGUAUUUCGUUGUCAGAGGUGAAAUUCUUGGAUUUACGAAAGACGAACAACUGCGAAAGCAUUUGCCAAGAGUGUUUUCAUCG
RNAcentral lists this ribosomal RNA (396 nucleotides) under Obelia sp. Its description in RNAcentral is "partial small subunit ribosomal RNA". It matches the Rfam family "Eukaryotic small subunit ribosomal RNA", at positions 582 to 975 of the family's 1831-position model. Lineage: Eukaryota; Metazoa; Cnidaria; Hydrozoa; Leptothecata; Obeliidae. The record is from RNAcentral.